GAUGAACGCUAGCGGAAGGCAUAAUACAUGCAAGUCGAACGGAUGUAGCAAUACAUUAGUGGCGCACGGGUGCGUAACGCGUAUGCAACCUACCUUCAUCAGGGGGAUAACUACUCGAAAGGGUGGCUAACACCGCAUAAUACUACUGAAUGGCAUCAUUUGGUAUUUAAAUCUGAGGAGGAUGAAGAUGGGCAUGCGUCUGAUUAGCUAGUUGGUGUGGUAACGGCGCACCAAGGCGACGAUCAGUAGGGGAACUGAGAGGUUGGUCCCCCACACUGUCACUGAGAUACGGGCCAGACUCCUACGGGAGGCAGCAGUAGGGAAUAUUGGUCAAUGGUGGGAACACUGAACCAGCCAUUCCGCGUGCAGGAAGAAGUGUCUCUGACUUGUAAACUGCUUUAGCAAGGGAAGAAAAAGCUCAUGCGUGAGAAAUUGACGGUACCUUGAGAAUAAGCACCGGCUAACUACGUGCCAGCCGCCGCAGUAA
This 487-nucleotide ribosomal RNA is filed under the name uncultured bacterium. RNAcentral describes it as "partial 16S ribosomal RNA". It matches the Rfam family "Bacterial small subunit ribosomal RNA", at positions 28 to 523 of the family's 1533-position model. The record is from RNAcentral.